GUCUGGAUGGCACAGUGGUCAGUGCGUCUGCCUGCUAUAGCAGGAGGUCCAGGUUCGAAUCCUAGUCUGGCACA
Non-coding RNA from Schistocerca americana (American grasshopper), 74 nucleotides. The record is from the annotation of a RefSeq genome assembly. Lineage: Eukaryota; Metazoa; Arthropoda; Insecta; Orthoptera; Acrididae.